AGUGAACGCUGGCGGUAGGCCUAACACAUGCAAGUCGAACGGCAGCACAGUAAGAGCUUGCUCUUACGGGUGGCGAGUGGCGGACGGGUGAGGAAUACAUCGGAAUCUACUUUUUCGUGGGGGAUAACGUAGGGAAACUUACGCUAAUACCGCAUACGACCUACGGGUGAAAGCAGGGGAUCUUCGGACCUUUCGCGAUUGAAUGAGCCGAUGUCGGAUUAGCUAGUUGGCGGGGUAAAGGCCCACCAAGGCGACGAUCCGUAGCUGGUCUGAGAGGAUGAUCAGCCACACUGGAACUGAGACACGGUCCAGACUCCUACGGGAGGCAGCAGUGGGGAAUAUUGGACAAUGGGCGCAAGCCUGAUCCAGCCAUACCGCGUGGGUGAAGAAGGCCUUCGGGUUGUAAAGCCCUUUUGUUGGGAAAGAAAAGCAGCAGGUUAAUACCCCGCUGUUCUGACGGUACUCAAAGAAUAAGCACCGGCUAACUUCGUG
Molecule: ribosomal RNA, 492 nt
Filed under: uncultured bacterium
Lineage: Bacteria
Description: partial 16S ribosomal RNA
Rfam family: Bacterial small subunit ribosomal RNA
Source: RNAcentral